This 72-nucleotide transfer RNA is filed under the name Marmota monax (woodchuck). It matches the Rfam family "tRNA". Rfam says of the family: Transfer RNA (tRNA) molecules are approximately 80 nucleotides in length. Their secondary structure includes four short double-helical elements and three loops (D, anti-codon, and T loops). Further hydrogen bonds mediate the characteristic L-shaped molecular structure. tRNAs have two regions of fundamental functional importance: the anti-codon, which is responsible for specific mRNA codon recognition, and the 3' end, to which the tRNAs corresponding amino acid is attached (by aminoacyl-tRNA synthetases). tRNAs cope with the degeneracy of the genetic code in two manners: having more than one tRNA (with a specific anti-codon) for a particular amino acid; and 'wobble' base-pairing, i.e. permitting non-standard base-pairing at the 3rd anti-codon position. Lineage: Eukaryota; Metazoa; Chordata; Mammalia; Rodentia; Sciuridae. The record is from Rfam by way of RNAcentral.
AGAGAUGUAACUCAGUGGUAGAGGGCUUGCCUAGUAUGAGUAAAACUCUGGGUUCAAUACCUAGCACCUCAA